Non-coding RNA from Pelobates cultripes (western spadefoot toad), 122 nucleotides. The record is from the annotation of a GenBank genome assembly. Lineage: Eukaryota; Metazoa; Chordata; Amphibia; Anura; Pelobatidae.
GUGUGUGUGUGUGUGUGUGUGUGUGUAUGUGUGUGUAUGUGUGUGUAUAUAUAUAUAUAUAUAUAUAUACACACACACACACACACACACACACAUAUAUGUACACACACACACUGUAUAUA